Molecule: ribosomal RNA, 740 nt
Filed under: Cellulophaga sp. RHA_20
Lineage: Bacteria; Pseudomonadati; Bacteroidota; Flavobacteriia; Flavobacteriales; Flavobacteriaceae
Description: bacterial SSU rRNA
Rfam family: Bacterial small subunit ribosomal RNA
Source: RNAcentral
GUCGAGGGGUAACAGGGGAGCUUGCUUCUGCUGACGACCGGCGCACGGGUGCGUAACGCGUAUACAAUCUGCCUUACACUAAGGGAUAGCCCAGAGAAAUUUGGAUUAAUACCUUAUAGUUUAUUAAGAUGGCAUCAUUUUAAUAAUAAAGAUUACGGUGUAAGAUGAGUAUGCGUACCAUUAGUUUGUUGGUAAGGUAACGGCUUACCAAGACUACGAUGGUUAGGGGCCCUGAGAGGGGGAUCCCCCACACUGGUACUGAGACACGGACCAGACUCCUACGGGAGGCAGCAGUGAGGAAUAUUGGACAAUGGAGGAGACUCUGAUCCAGCCAUGCCGCGUGCAGGAAGACGGUCCUAUGGAUUGUAAACUGCUUUUAUACAGGAAGAAUAAGGACUACGUGUAGUCUGGUGACGGUACUGUAAGAAUAAGGACCGGCUAACUCCGUGCCAGCAGCCGCGGUAAUACGGAGGGUCCGAGCGUUAUCCGGAAUUAUUGGGUUUAAAGGGUCCGUAGGCGGGCCAUUAAGUCAGGGGUGAAAGUUUGCAGCUCAACUGUAGAAUUGCCUUUGAUACUGAUGGUCUUGAAUUAUUGUGAAGUGGUUAGAAUAUGUAGUGUAGCGGUGAAAUGCAUAGAUAUUACAUAGAAUACCGAUUGCGAAGGCAGAUCACUAACAAUAUAUUGACGCUGAUGGACGAAAGCGUGGGUAGCGAACAGGAUUAGAUACCCUGGUAGUCCAC